GGGGUUAUAGCUUAGCUGGUAAAGCGUUUCGUUCGCAAUGAAAAGAGCGCCGGUUCGAUUCCGGCUAACUCCA
RNAcentral lists this transfer RNA (73 nucleotides) under Bacteroidota bacterium. Its description in RNAcentral is "Bacteroidetes bacterium (activated sludge metagenome) tRNA-Ala". It matches the Rfam family "tRNA". From Rfam's summary of the family: Transfer RNA (tRNA) molecules are approximately 80 nucleotides in length. Their secondary structure includes four short double-helical elements and three loops (D, anti-codon, and T loops). Further hydrogen bonds mediate the characteristic L-shaped molecular structure. tRNAs have two regions of fundamental functional importance: the anti-codon, which is responsible for specific mRNA codon recognition, and the 3' end, to which the tRNAs corresponding amino acid is attached (by aminoacyl-tRNA synthetases). tRNAs cope with the degeneracy of the genetic code in two manners: having more than one tRNA (with a specific anti-codon) for a particular amino acid; and 'wobble' base-pairing, i.e. permitting non-standard base-pairing at the 3rd anti-codon position. RNAcentral also lists the same sequence under 1 other name. The record is from RNAcentral. Lineage: Bacteria; Pseudomonadati; Bacteroidota.